GGUUAUCCUGUACAAGGGGAAACUAAUGUGGAACACUGGUGUCAUCUUGUAUCUAUCUGAAAUAUAACAGUCUCCAUUCAUACAUUCUUCAUUAUACAGCAAAACGUACAGAAACAAUAUUAUAAUGACUUGAAACAAACUUUUGUUUGUAAUAUUACUGAUAUCACCUGAGUAAGUGCAGCAGAACAUAUUUGUACUUUUCUCACAGUGCGCUUACUUUUUAGGUGACUCAGAUUUGGGCAUUGCCUUCUUAUAACAGAUGGCUGAAUGGUUAUUCAAGAUGCUAAUUAGUCUUUUACAUUUUCCAGCUAACCUUACAUAGACACAUUCCUUUGAGAGAUGAUUACUCUGUGGUUUUAAAUAGUAGCAUAUAUUUGCUAAGAGACUUCCUUAACGAGCCCUUUAUAAACAAUAAAAUUGUGAUUAACUGUGGUAUAGUAAACACAUGAUACCAGCAAGACAGUAAUUAACAGCACAGCGGCAUUUUAAAGGACUGAUUUACAUAUUUUAACAUUCUUUUACUGUAGGGGCUCUUCAGAUGGAACCAGGCAAUGCUUGUGGAAGUUCAGAAAAAGCUGCUAAAAUGAGGGACCUGUGGAAUUUCCAUCUGGAGACGGUCAUUUAUCAACAGGAGCAGUAGUGGAGGCUACUUAUUGCGAAGCAGUGAAAUGAAAUCAAUGGUGAGUGCCCAGUGAUAGUGCUCAACGUUAUAGAAAUUACAAAAAUGAUCUUCCUUUCUCAUUACAAUUUUCAAAGCCUUGCUGCCUUUCUUAAAUUGCUGUCAAGUAU
This 789-nucleotide long non-coding RNA is filed under the name Phasianus colchicus (ring-necked pheasant). Its description in RNAcentral is "lncRNA (ENSPCLG00000002273.1)". Lineage: Eukaryota; Metazoa; Chordata; Aves; Galliformes; Phasianidae. The record is from RNAcentral.